AUUGAAAAUGACAUACAAGACGUCCUGCACAAUUACCUUUGCCAAUUAAACCACCAACCUCCGCCACUUAAAGAUAUCUCUCACACCUCCUUAGGUCCACAACAUGACCUUCUCAUGAUACCCACUCCAUCUGCCAUAUCUAAACCUAAGUCCACUGGCAUCAUCAUCAAAGAAGAACGACCAGACUACACUGACUUCCUUUAUCAAGACUCACAAGAUCCAUGGGAAGAUUUUCUUCCUCUGAGCCAACACCUCCACCAGUUUCCCCAACCAACAAUGGAUGAACCUGGCCCCUCCGUACCAGGACCCUCAACCCAAUCUUCCAAACGACCAGCUCAACCAUCCAAAGUUGAAAAAGCCACCCAAACUUCCCCUAAGUAUACUCCGAAGUGUACUCCCAGAGACUAUAAUUGCCCUUAUCCACCAUGCCGUGGUCCCUCCUGUAAGCAUCCAAAGCUCUCCAAAACUUUCUUCCAAAAGCAUCCUCACUCUGGUGAUACGGACCCAGAUGAGACCGAAAGCUCAUCCGAAGACGAAUACAUGAAUCUCCGCUCUCCAUAAAGUUGUUUGUCUUGUUGCUUUCAAUAAAGUAGUUUGUCUUGUUGUCAUAAUGAUGUUUCGCUUUAUGUUUGCAUAAUUAUUAAAGUUUACUUUUACUUUAAUACUUUUGUCCAAGUCAUGCUUUAAUUAUUAAAGCACUUUUGUCUUUUGUAAUAAUUAAAGUUGUGCAAUUAUGUAAAAGAUAGGGGUCCUGUCCUAUCUUCUCACGAAUCCUCCUCUAUAUAAAGGAUUCUCCCCUUGCUUGUAAGAUAUAGAAGUUCCUCUAUAUAAAGGAUUCUCCCCUUGCUUGUAAGAUAUAGAAGUUUGAAAGAAAAAACUCGUGUUUUUCUCUUACACCAUGAAUCCCUAAAACUCUUCUCUCUCUCUGCAAAUGAAGUCCUAAGAAAGAAACAGAAUAAAGAAUUAAAUUUGUUCAUUUUGAAAACCUAAGGAAGUAUGCUCUGCACUUGCCUUUUCUAAGGAUCCUGUGCAUCAGAAAACUUUUGAUCAUUUCUUAUCUGGUUUGGUACCCUGUUUUAGACUAAAGGAAAGUCUGUUUUGGGUUGUAUAACCUGAGAAAAAUGUUUUAAAGGUUUUUGAUUACAGAGGUAUAUCGGCUGGAAACCCGAGCUUGCGGACUACUGGUCCAAAGAACAGUUUUAACUGUUGUAGUUCUGGUAUAACAACGCCACGUACUUCACCCCAACUGGUAUCAGAGCCAUACCCAUCCUUGAAAAUUUCAUGUUUUCUAAAUUCACGAUUUCUUGCCCAAAAUGGUAUAAUUUAAGGCUUUUUCUAUUUUGAUCUCUAGAACUUCAGGCGCAGAGAGACCUUCUCCUUCAUGGCAUCCACUUCCUCUUCACCUCCUGUUACUCUUUCUUCCACUCUUUCUUUACCGAAAUCUUGCACUUCUCAUACUACUAAUAAAAUUGAAAAUCUUGUAGAAUACUCCUACAUCCCUGAAUCCGCCCAAAUCAGUGAAUCUUCUUACCCUCUCCUCAGCCCUUAUCAGUUGUACAAACGACCUAGCUCCUUUACCCGCAGUCUCCGCACCCUUAUCUCUACCAGACGCCCUCACCCUAAAGAAUAUAUCCAGUCUUCUCGCCUGGAUCAGUGUGCUCUUCAAGCCACCUCUGCUGAGCAAUAUGUCACUCUGGAGAUUCCCUCCGAGUUGCUCUCCAACUGGAAACGAGAAGGUUAUACUCAUCUUCAUCUUGGAGGCAUCAGAUUAAUCCUUACCCUUCAUGGGAGAAAAGGAUUACCGGUUACCGCUCGACUUGCUAUGCUUGAUACCCGGUUUAAACAGUACCAAGAUGCUGUUAUCGGUACUGUCCUCACAACCCUUCAUGCAGGAAGUGUUUUACUCACUUUCUAUCCCAAUUUCAAUCUUUCUCUCCAAGACCCCAAUUUGCCCACAACCUUGAAAGUCCAAGUUCAGAUUCAAGGUGCUGAACAAAUUUCUUCUGCAAAAAUUGCCACUUUACAUCACCAACUGGUCUACAGGCUUCAAAAUCAUGCCUUAGAUCUACCCGCUCCAGAACACCACUCUGACACCCUCAUGGUGUUAGCAGAAUCUGACCAGAUCCCGAAGAUUUUCAAUUUUAUUAGUAGUAUGAGAAGUGCAAGAUUUCGGUAAAGAAAGAGUGGAAGAAAGAGUAACAGGAGGUGAAGAGGAAGUGGAUGCCAUGAAGGAGAAGGUCUCUCUGCGCCUGAAGUUCUAGAGAUCAAAAUAGAAAAAGCCUUAAAUUAUACCACCCCCCAGUGCUCCACAAGAGCCUCCUAGGCUCUCCUUUACCUAUUCUUCAAUGAUCACAGCUGUUCAGACAGCGCAGGAAGAUCUGCCCAUUACAGGGUUUAAUUCUCAAGGCUACCCUGUUUAUCCAGCCAAACACAAUGGCCAUUUCCUAUGGGAUGCCCCUGGUUCCGGCAUGUGUGACCCAAAUUGUCCCUGCUGGGAUGAUUGGGAAGAAGACGAUGAUUACGCAACCACAAGGAAAAAGAAACCCAAAAAGAAAAAACCUCCUGUUCCAUGUCACCACUGUGACCCUAAACCACCAUCAGAUCCUCCACCUCCACCGGCUCCAUUACCCAUCUACCGAAAAGAACUCACAUGGAUUGCCAAACAUUGCAAAUCUGCGAUUCCAUCACCACUCUCACACCCAACACCUACCGUCCAACCACUGGCUUGUAUGAUGUUUUCCUCUACUUCUUCAGAUUACUCUUCUUCCUUUCCUCCUUUGGAACCCCAUACAGAUUCUCAACGAAAUGUUGUGUCCAAACCCUUUAUCCCUUCCCCUAUUACCUCCACUGGCCACCUAGAACCUCCCAAACCUUUUGAAUCAGUCCUCAACUGGCAAACCCAAAAUGCUAGAGCACAGAAUGAUACUUUGGUCAAUAUCAAUUCCAAAGUUGAGAAAAUCAGUUUACGAACUGACCAGCUUGAGACAAAGGUUGACUCCAUCUCUGCACAGAUGCAGCAGAUCCACCAAAAUCUCCAGUCCAGAAUUGGCCAACUCGAUUCAGAGUUACGAGCCAUGCUAGCCCACAGAUACAAUGGUCCCGAAUUUGACCAAAAGGAAAGGGAAAUCAGGCGAUUAAAAGCUGAACUUGCUCAGAUUGAAUCUGAAAAACAGAGACCUACCCUUUUCACCAGUUCACCUCUUAUUCCUUCUAUCGGUCCAACUUACCAUCCUUUUGCCUCUAUGCUCUCUCCUAUUAAACAAUAUGACCCUUCCAAGUUAUUUGGCAUGACUCAUACUCUUUUCAGAGACAAUCCUUUGCCACCGCCACCUAAACCUAAACCCAAACCUAGACCACAGCCUCGACCUCCCCCUCUUCAUCCUUCCUCUCUGACCAUCCCUGGCCAACCAUCUCCUACUUUUACACCGACCUCACCACCAGCUCCUUUAUCAGUCCCUGCCCAAUCAAAAGAUAAAGAACCCAUGAACCAAUUUACUGCUCACGCAGUCAUCCAUUCAUCUACUGACGAUCAAACUUCUGAUUCAAAUCUAGCUGUUUCAGAUAGCCAUACCGAAACUGACACAGAAUCUUCAGCAUCCACCAGUGACUCUGAAAAGUCCUAUGCUGAUAUUACCAAAAUCCUGAUGGCUCAACCUGAUCAAGGCCAAACCUCUCAUACAGAACCAUAUGUUGAUAUUCCCUCCGAAGUUGAAGAAGAAAUGCCUGAAUCUUCUGCCACAAACCAACCUUCUCCAGCCCAGCCCAAUCCACCCAGUCACAAAUCGUCAAAUGGUCCAUGGUUCACAUUUGAUGAUCUUCCAUCUCAUAAAUGGCGUGACCGACUCAAUGAAAUGUCUGCCUGGAUUGAUCUACAGAUGCUAAGACCAGGAGCAACAACUCAAUCAGUCCUUAGAGAAUUUGCUACUCGUUUUACGGGUGCUCUAAGAGAUUGGUUUGAUUCGUUAGGACAAUAUCGCCAGUUACAGUUUGUUGACCUUCCAGAAGUUUCAAGUGCUCUUGCUGUACUUCAUGAUCAAUUCCUUGGCGACCCUUCUGCAGUCUUUGAAGCUGCCAGACGAGACUACCUCAACAUGAAAUGCUGCUCCCUCAAUGCUAAGGAUCUUGACUUCCAUUAUAAGCGAAUGUCCCUGCUGUUCUAUAAGCUUAAUGGAUUCAAUGAACCGACAUUAAAGCAUGUCUUUCUGGCUUCCCUCCCCGAAGAACUCCAACCUGACAUCCAGAGACAACUUACAGCAUCCAAUCUUUCCCUAGACAACAUCUCCCUUGGCAAAAUCUUCCAGCUUGCCAAAACCUGCCUUGACAAACUUUGCGAGCAAAAACAGUUUUUCAAAGAACUGUUGAAAGACAAAGAACCUUUCCGCAGUGCUUGCAAAAAGCCUUAUUUACAGAUCAAAUGCCACAAGAAAAAGGAUUGCGAUUGCAGUUCAAAGAAAAAACGGCAUUUUCGAAAAUUCAAAACUCCAGAAUUUUCAUCCAAACCUCGCAGAUCCCGAAAGCCCUACCGGUUCUUCAGAAAGAAAUCUUCCUCCUCCAGAGAAUUCAAACGAAAGCAAUCAAGCAGAUGUUUCAUCUGCAAGAGAAAAGGCCACUAUGCCAAAGAUUGUCCCAACAAAAGAGAAAAGGCCAUCCGGUUGGUUGAACAUCUUCAAGCAACUACAGACUACUCUCCUGCCAAAGAUGAAUUGGAAUUCUAUUUCUCUGAACAAGAUGAACCCAACGAUGAAACAGUGUUCGCACUACAAAAUUCCUCUGACUCAGAUAGUGACCAGUCUCAAGUGAUUUUCCACCAACAGUUACUCUCCCUUGAUACUACAGUUCCUAUCCCAUCCAUCAAACUCCAGAUCUUGCCCUCAAAAUUCCAAAGGCCCAUUCCAGCAAUUGGUCUUAUAGAUACUGGUGCCCAACGAAGCAUGUUGAACCCCCAUAUUCUUCCACCAGAAUAUUGGACCCAGUCCGAAGAACAUUUCAAAGCUGUCAAUGGCAAACUCUUCACCACCUCUUUGAUUACCAAAAAAUCCAUUGGUAUUCAAAUCUUCCCAAAUUGUGUCAUUUGGACCAAGGUUAUUGGUUCCACUCUUCCUAAUAAGGAUAUCUUAUUAGGAUUUGACAUCCUUCACCAAAUCAAACACCUCCAAAUCAUUCCCACUGGAAUCCGAGUCAAGUCCAUGUUCAAACCAUUCACAGACAUUCUGAAACUCUACAAUUUGUCUGAAACUCCCCAGUCUUACCAGGAUAUUUCAACCAAACUUUUGAGUUUCUGUCCAGAGUCCCAUUCUGAGUUCACCCAUCCAAAUCCAUUGUGGAAAAAUAAGUCUUUCUUCAUUAAGUUACCCUUCAAACUCAAUGAAGACAUUAACCCAACUAAAGCUACCCAUCCAGGAAUGAGUCCUUCUGACUUACUCCUAGCCCAACAAGAAUGUUCACAAUUGUUAGCCCAAGGUUUAAUUGAGCCCACAAGUUCCCAAUGGGCUUGCCAAGCCUUUUAUGUUGAAAAACAUUCUGAAAUUGUCCGAGGAAAGAAACGCCUAGUCAUUGAUUAUCAGCCCCUAAACAUGUUUUUACAAGAUGACAAGUUUCCAUUACCCCGCAGACAAAGCAUGUUUACUUUUCUUAAAAAUGCCCAGAUCUUUUCAAAAUUUGAUUUAAAAUCUGGUUUUUGGCAACUAGGCAUUGAACCCUCCGAACGUUACAAAACCGCUUUUUGUAUUCCCAAUGCCCAUUUCCAAUGGACCGUCCUACCCUUUGGCCUCAAAACUGCCCCCUCCAUUUUCCAAAAAUCCAUGGUCCAAAUCUUCCAGCCCAUUUUGCAUCAUGCAUUGAUUUACAUUGACGAUAUUUUACUUUUUUCAGGAUCGCAUGAAGAACAUCGCCACCUAUUGUCCCAAUUCUAUGAUAUUAUCCAAAGUCAUGGAAUCAUGUUAUCGGCCAAGAAAAGCACCAUUGCUACAGAUAAUAUUGAAUUCCUUGGUAUGAUCAUUAAAGAUGGACACUACCAGCCAGGAAAGCACAUUGCCCAAGAAUUGCUUCACUUUCCAGAUCAGCAACUUUCCAAAAGGCAAAUCCAACAGUUUCUCGGCAUUAUCAAUUACAUCCGUGAUUUCCUCCCACAUGUGGACCAUCACACUCAUCAUCUCUCGGCUUUAUUGAAAAAGAAGCCCCCAGAAUGGAAUGCUGACCACACACGUGCUGUCACUACUCUCAAGCAGAUUGCGCAAAAUCCGCCUCCUUUAAAGUUGAUUACUGAUGGCAAGCGCAUAUUACAGACAGACGCAAGUGAUGAAUCAUGGGGUGCCAUCCUCCUCGAAGAACUCAAUGACAAGGAACACUUUAUCGCUUACGCUAGUGGACAUUUUUCUGAAACACAGAAGCACUACCAUAGCGUGUUUAAAGAAAUCUUAGCGGUAAAGAAUGGCAUCAAAAAGUUUGAGUAUCAUCUGAUUGGACACCAUUUUCUCAUCCGAAUGGACAGCUCAGCCUUCCCCAAUAUCUUUCAUUUCAAAGGUAAAACUGUUCCCGAAAAAAUGUUACUCAGAUUAAAAGAUUGGUUUUCCAAAUAUGACUUUUCAGUCAAGCAUAUAAAGGGAUCCCAGAACCUCAUCCCUGAUAUGCUCUCCAGACUCUCUAAACCACAAGACCCUCUCACCCUGUUUUCCACCACCUACCAUUUUCCGAUUAUCUCCAUGGCUACCUCACUACCCCCAGAAGCUCUCACCAAGAAAACUUUUCCCUUCAACAAAACCUUCUCUUCUGUUUUUGAUAUCCAAGAAUUUGCAAGAAAAGCUCUCUUUCGCUUUUUCAUGAAAGCCUACCUUGUCACCGACCCUUUUCCUUUUUCCACUUUCCACCCAGAAAAUCUGUUCCUUACAGGUUUAACCCUUGAUCCGACCAGAGACACCACUGAAGACGUGUUAUGGUACAUCUGGUGCCUAACAGUCCUUUACGCAACCAAGUUAGUCCUCCCCAUUUCUCCCACUCUGGACCACCUCCUUAAUCCAGAUAACGCCACCUCCCUUACCUGGACCCUACUUGAAUGGUUCUCCCCCAUCCCAUGGUGGAGAAAGAAACUGCAACAACUGUCCGAAAUUUACAACCUUGACCGUAUGCCUGCCCCUGAAGCACAAAUGUUCACAUCAGUUUUUAUUAUUCACAGGCCAUACUUCCAACAUCCAGACACCCAUCUCUUUUGGACUCAAGAUCAGGUAUAUGAAUGGUUCACUGCACCACAUAUAGCUGUGAUUGAAAAUGACAUACAAGACGUCCUGCACAAUUACCUUUGCCAAUUAAACCACCAACCUCCGCCACUUAAAGAUAUCUCUCACACCUCCUUAGGUCCACAACAUGACCUUCUCAUGAUACCCACUCCAUCUGCUAUAUCUAAACCUAAGUCCACUGGCAUCAUCAUCAAAGAAGAACGACCAGACUACACUGACUUUCUUUACCAAGACUCACAAGAUCCAUGGGAAGAUUUUCUUCCUCUGAGCCAACACCUCCACCAGUUUCCCCAACCAACAAUGGAUGAACCUGGCCCCUCCGUACCAGGACCCUCAACCCAAUCUUCCAAACGACCAGCUCAACCAUCCAAAGUUGACAAAGCCACCCAAACUUCCCCUAAGUAUACUCCGAAGUGUACUCCCAGAGACUAUAAUUGCCCUUAUCCACCAUGCCGUGGUCCCUCCUGUAAGCAUCCAAAGCUCUCCAAAACAUUCUUCCAAAAGCAUCCUCACUCUGGUGAUACGGACCCAGAUGAGACCGAAAGCUCAUCCGAAGACGAAUACAUGAAUCUCCGCUCUCCAUAAAGUUGUUUGUCUUGUUGCUUUCAAUAAAGUAGUUUGUCUUGUUGUCAUAAUGAUGUUUCGCUUUAUGUUUGCAUAAUUAUUAAAGUUUGCUUUUACUUUAAUACUUUUGUCCAAGUCAUGCUUUAAUUAUUAAAGCACUUUUGUCUUUUGUAAUAAUUAAAGUUGUGCAAUUAUGUAAAAGAUAGGGGUCCUGUCCUAUCUUAUCUUUUACUUUUACUUUUGAAAACGAUAGGGGUCCUGUCCUAUCUUCUCAAGAAUCCUCCUCUAUAUAAAGGAUUCUCCCCUUGCUUGUAAGAUAUAGAAGUUUGAAAGAAAUAAACUCGUGUUUUUCUCUUACACCAUGAAUCCCUAAAACUCUUCUCUCUCUCUGCAAAUGAAGCUCUAAGAAAGAAAAAGAAUAAAGAAUUAAAUUUGUUCAUUUUGAAAACCUAAGGAAGUAUGCUCUGCACUUGCCUUUUCUAAGGAUCCUGUGCAUCAGAAAACUUUUGAUCAUUUCUUAUCUGGUUUGGUACCCUGUUUUAGACUAAAGGAAAGUCUGUUUUGGGUUGUAUAACCUGAGAAAAAUGUUUUAAAGGUUUUUGAUUACAGAGGUAUAUCGGCUGGAAACCCGAGCUUGCGGACUACUGGUCCAAAGAACAGUUUUAACUGUUGUAGUUCUGGUAUAACAACGC
This 8488-nucleotide long non-coding RNA is filed under the name Citrus x clementina. Its description in RNAcentral is "Citrus clementina (C. clementina) long non-coding RNA (CCLE_LNC001726)". Lineage: Eukaryota; Viridiplantae; Streptophyta; Magnoliopsida; Sapindales; Rutaceae. The record is from RNAcentral.